UACGUAGGGUGCGAGCGUUGUCCGGAAUUACUGGGCGUAAAGAGCUCGUAGGUGGUUUGUCGCGUUGUUCGUGAAAACUCACAGCUUAACUGUGGGCGUGCGGGCGAUACGGGCAGACUGGAGUACUGCAGGGGAGACUGGAAUUCCUGGUGUAGCGGUGGAAUGCGCAGAGUAUCAGGAGGAACACCGGUGGCGAAGGCGGGUCUCUGGGCAGUAACUGACGCUGAGGAGCGAAAGCGUGGGGAGCGAACA
This 252-nucleotide ribosomal RNA is filed under the name uncultured bacterium. RNAcentral describes it as "partial 16S ribosomal RNA". It matches the Rfam family "Bacterial small subunit ribosomal RNA", at positions 524 to 774 of the family's 1533-position model. The record is from RNAcentral.